Long non-coding RNA from Xenia sp. Carnegie-2017, 906 nucleotides. RefSeq lists it as uncharacterized. Lineage: Eukaryota; Metazoa; Cnidaria; Anthozoa; Malacalcyonacea; Xeniidae. The transcript is spliced from 2 exons. The record is from RefSeq and is a predicted model, not a curated record.
CAAAAUUAACAUAAAUUAAAAGCAUUUCAGAAAAUUAAUUACAUAAUUAGAAACAUUUCAAAUAUUUAAAGCGAAAACGUCGAUACGUUCACAAUGGCUGCAGUUGUAAACGUUUAUUUUUGUGCAUUAAAAUUCCUUCAAAGCUUAUGAAGAAAUCGCUUUGACGGUUUCACGACAUUGAAUCUAGCGGACAAAUUUAUAUUUUUAGUGGUUUGCAUAUUAUGAUACAAAGAUGACACUUUCAAUGCGAAGCAAGUAUACAGUUGAUUUCGUGUUUUUAUUUUGAGCAACGUUGGCAAUCAUCGAACAGAUUUGCAAAUUUGAUCGGGAACUUUCGAGAAACAUGAGCACUUUUGAACAAACUUGAAAGUAUUUCGCGAAAAUGUUGAGAUAAAUCGUAUGUAACAUGCUCCAAUGAACCACAGUUAUGAGGAAGAGAUGAACACUUGUGCUAUGUGGCUACAUCUUUGAUAAUCUAAUACCAAAGAAUGAAUAAUUACUGUCAACAAAUUUAUAGUGUAUGAUAAACAUGCGAGAAGAAGGAUAACAGCUGGUAUAUGGCAAUUUUACAUAUGUACGAACUGAGGAGCUUUGAUGGACGACGUACUUUUCAGCAAGAAAUGACAAGAACGCAUCUCUCUGUCGGUACCAGUACCAAAUUCAAGUCUUCCAUAAAAUCGUCUGUUGGCAAAAGUUGCAAAUUUGGUUGUAGCAAAUUAGAAAAACCUGUCAAGGAGAUAUUUCUGAAAAACGACAGUUAUUACUGUCAUGUCCUUGUUAAGAAUAUUUAGGUAACGAAUGAAAACAUCCAUUGAUUGAUUUGGAUAUAUUUAUUAUAGUUAACAACAACAGCGUGUGCGCAAAUAAGCAGUACGAACAGAACAGAGUAAAAGCAAUAUCACAUGA